GUGGGGAAUCUUGCGCAAUGGGCGAAAGCCUGACGCAGCCAUGCCGCGUGGAUGAUGAAGGUCUUAGGAUUGUAAAAUCCUUUCACCGGUGAAGAUAAUGACUGUAGCCGGAGAAGAAGCCCCGGCUAACUUCGUGCCAGCAGCCGCGGUAAUACGAAGGGGGCUAGCGUUGCUCGGAUUUACUGGGCGUAAAGGGCGCGUAGGCGGACAUUUAAGUCAGGGGUGAAAUCCCGGGGCUCAACCUCGGAACUGCCUUUGAUACUGGGUGUCUUGAGUAUGAGAGGGGUGUGUGGAACUCCGAGUGUAGAGGUGAAAUUCGUAGAUAUUCGGAAGAACACCAGUGGCGAAGGAGACACACUGGCUCAUUACUGACGCUGAGGCGCGAAAGCGUGGGGAGCAAACAGGAUUAGAUACCCCUGUAGUCC
This 425-nucleotide ribosomal RNA is filed under the name uncultured bacterium. Its description in RNAcentral is "partial 16S ribosomal RNA". It matches the Rfam family "Bacterial small subunit ribosomal RNA", at positions 354 to 796 of the family's 1533-position model. The record is from RNAcentral.